AUGACGGCAAAAAUAGCCAUGAUCUUUCAGCCACUGCUGAAACUGCUGGAGUCGGGCCCUUCCCAGGCAGGACAUAAGCGGGGGGCCAGGGAGGACAUGGCCAGGCUGGAAGAGUGUCAUCAACCCGUGGCUGCUGGGGUGAGUGGCCCUCCUGUCCAGCCACAGUACCAGGGGGUGGGUGAAGGUGUUCGGAGGGGACAGAAAAGCAGGGGCCACUGGCUUCCCCCACCCCCCACUCUGCCAAUCCUACCUCAGGGCAGUUUUUUGUUUGGUUUUUUUUUGAGACAGAAUCUCGCUGUGUCACCCAGGCUGGAGUGCAGUGGCUUGAUCUUGGCUCACUGAAACCUCCGCCUCCCUGAUUCAAGCAAUUCUCUUGCCUCGGCUUCCUGAGUAGCAGGACUACAGGCGCGCACCACCAUGCCCAGCUAAUUUUUGUCUUUUUAGUAGAGAUGGGGGUUUCACCGUGGUGGCCAGGUUGGUCUCGAACUCCUGACCUCAGGUGAUCUGCCCGCCUCGGCCUCCCAAAGUGCUGGGAUUAUGGGCAUGAACCACCACACCCGGCCCCCAGGGUAACUUUGGUACUCCUCCCUAUAUCCAGCAAGGGCAGAGGAAAGUCCCCAGGGAAAGUCCUCUAUGAACCAUCGACGACGGCACGGUUAGUAGUAGUUACAAUGCCAAAAUUAAAAAAUAAAAUAAAAAGAUUUUGUGUGCAAUUUUGCAGAGGGAAUGUCUUGCCCUUUUUUUUCCACUCAGAAGGAAGGGCGGUUAUUCAAAACAGUCAAAAAGUGGGAACAGCCCAAAUCCCCACUGGCUGGUGAGUAGAUAAACAAACUGGAGUGUAUCCAUAACAUUACUCAGCCUUCAAAAGAAGGAAGCACUAAUUUAUGCUCCAAUGUGCAGGAACCAUGAAACGUGGUGCUAAGAAAGAAGCCAGGCGCAAGAGGCCACAUAGUGUGUGAUUCCACUGACACAAACCACCCAGGACAGGCCAGUCCACAGAGUCAGGAAGCCAGUUGUCAGUUGCUGGGGGCUGGCAGGGGAUUGAUGAUGACUUUGGGGCUUCUUUUUGGGGUGAUUCAAUGUUCUAGAAUUAGAUAGUGGUGAGGACUGCACAACUCUGUGAAUAUACUAAAAGCAUUGCACACUUUAAAGUGGGUAAUUUUUAAGGUAUGUGAAGUGUGUCUCAUUUUUUUUUCUUUUUAAAUUUAUUUUUUGGGCCAGGUGCAGUGGCUCAUGCCUGUAAUCCCAGCACUUUGGGAGGUCGAGGUGGGAGGAUCACGAGGUCAAGAGAUUGAGACCAUCCUGGCCAACAUGGUGAAACUCCGUCUCCACUAAAAAUACAAAAAUGAGCUGGGCACGGUGGUGCACGCUUGUAGUCCCAGUCACUCAGGAGGCUGAGGCAGGAGAAUCGCUUGAACCUGGGAGGUGGAGGUCGCAGUGAGCUGAGAUUGUGCCAUUGCACUCCAGCCUGGGGACGGAGUGAGACUACGUCUCAAAAAAAAAAAAAAAAAUUUUUUUUUUUAGAGAUGAAGUUUCAUUAUGUUACCCAGUCUGGUCCCGAACUCCUGGGCUCAAGCGAUCCACCUACCUUGGCCUCCCAAAGUGUUGGGAUUGCAGGCAUGUGCCACCGUACCUGGCCCUCGCAUCUUAUUUUUAUUUUUAUUUGUUUUGAGACGGAGUCUUGCUUUGUCACCUAGGCUGGAGUGCAGAGGCACGAUCUCAGCUCACUGCAAGCUCCGCCUCCCAGGUUCACGCCAUUCUCCUGCCUCAGCCUUCCAAAUAGCAGGGGCUACAGGCACCCGCCACCAUGCCCGGCUAAUUUUUUUGUAUUUUUAGUAGAGACAGCAUUUCACCGUCUUAGCCAGGAUGGUCUCGAUCUCCUGACCUCGUGAUCCGCCCGUCUCGGCCUCCCAAAGUACUGGGAUUAUAGGUGUGAGCCACGGCACCCGGCCUCAUCUCAUUUUUAAAAGAAGGCCAAGAAUGGUGGCACGUGCCUGUAAUCCCAGCUACAAGGAAGGCUAAGGCAGGAGAAUUGCUUGAACCCGGGAAGCAGAGGUUGCAGGGAAAUGUAAUAGUUUAACUUAAGAACUUAAAGGUAGGUCACUCAGACUUCUCUUAAAGAUGGAGAUGGCACACAAAAAUGCAGGUUUUGCCGGUCGCAGGGGCUCAUGCCUGUAAUCCUAGCGCUUUGGGAGGCUGAAGCGGGUGGAUCACCUGAGGUCAGGAGUUUGAGACUGGCCUGACCAACAUGGAGAAACACUGUCUCCACUAAAAAUACAAAAAAUUAGCUGGGCGGGAUGGGGCAUGCCUGUAAUCUCAACUACUCAGGAGGCUGAGGCAGGAGAAUUGCUUGAACCUGAGGUUGGAGGUUGCGGUGAGCCAAGAUCAUACCACUGCACUCCAGCCUGGGUGACAAGAGUGAAACUCUGUCUCAAAAAUAAAUAAAUAAGGCCAGGCAUAGAGGCUUACGCCUGUAAUCCCAGCACUCUAGGAAGGCAGAGGAGGGAAGAUAGCUUGAGGUUGGGAGUUUGAGACCAGUCUGGGCAAUGUAGCAAGACCCUGUCACUACAAACAUUAAAAAGAAAAAAUUAGCCAAGCAUAGUGGUAUGUGCCUGUAGUCCCAGCUACUCAGGAGGCUGAGGCAGGAGGAUCACUUGGGCCCAGGGGUUUGAGGCUGCCGUGAGCUAUGGUCACGCCACUGCCCUCCAGCCUGGGUGACAGAGUGAGCCCCAGUUUCAGGGAAAUAAAAGGGAGGGAGGUAUGUAAAGAAGAACAGUAAUCAAGUGAGACAACAUCCCCCUGUAUCGGCUCCACGAUGACGUUUAUGUGCCUCAGGUGUGGGGCCAGGAAACAAGAUGGACCACGACCAUGGUAGUAAUAGUGAUAGGAGCAAAGAUAGCCAGCAGCGUGAACUCAGCAGGUGUGAACCCUCUUCUGGGAGCACUUGGAUCCCCUUCCCUGAGCCUGGAGUUAGCAGCCCUCCCAGUCACUGCCCCCAAAUGCAGCUCCUGUGCCCUCCUGGGGCUUGUGUGCUCAUCUGGGCCCUUCAUUCUUGUUCCCUGGGACCAGAUGGAGGUGCGGGGCGCGGGGGGAGCCCCACCUCUGCGCUGUGCACUCUGAGCCUCUGUUUGCUGUGCGUCUUGCAGAGCUGGGCAUCCUCACCCUGCAGAGAGUGAGGGGCUCGGGAGUCCCAGGAGCAGCG
Macaca mulatta (Rhesus monkey) is the source of this 3202-nucleotide long non-coding RNA. Lineage: Eukaryota; Metazoa; Chordata; Mammalia; Primates; Cercopithecidae. The record is from Ensembl.